GAUGAAGAACUAGCGAAAUGCGAUAAGUAAUGUGAAUUGCAGAAUUCAGUGAAUCAUCGAAUCUUUGAACGCACAUUGCGCCCGCCAGUAUUCUGGCGGGCAUGCCUGUUCGAGCGUCAUUACAACCCUCAGGCCCCCGGGCCUGGCGUUGGGGAUCGGCGGAGCCCCCCGUGGGCACACGCCGUCCCCCAAAUGCAGUGGCGGUCCCGCCGCAGCUUCCAUCGCGUAGUAGCUAACACCUCGCGACUGGAGAGCGGCGCGGCCACGCCGUAAAACACCCAACUCUUCUGAAGUUGACCUCGAAUCAGGUAGGAAUACCCGCUGAACUUAAGCAUAUCAAUAAGCGGAGGA
This 351-nucleotide unclassified non-coding RNA is filed under the name soil metagenome. RNAcentral describes it as "partial contains 5.8S ribosomal RNA, internal transcribed spacer 2, and large subunit ribosomal RNA". The stretch from base 1 to 119 matches the Rfam family "5.8S ribosomal RNA", at positions 35 to 154 of the family's 154-position model. The record is from RNAcentral.